AGGUGUGACCGUACCAGCUCUAACGCACUGGAUCCCAUCAGAACUCCGAAGUUAAGCGUGCUUGGACAAGAGUAGUACUAGGAUGGGUGACCCCCAGGGAAGUCCUCGUGUUGCACCCC
RNAcentral lists this ribosomal RNA (119 nucleotides) under Olea europaea subsp. europaea. Lineage: Eukaryota; Viridiplantae; Streptophyta; Magnoliopsida; Lamiales; Oleaceae. The record is from RNAcentral.